GAGUUUGAUCCUGGCUCAGACGAACGCUGGCGGCGUGCUUUAACACAUGCAAGUCGAACGCGAACGGGACUUCGGUUCCUAGUAGAGUGGCGCACGGGUGAGUAACGCGUAGAUAACCUAUCUUUAUGUCUGGGAUAACACGCCGAAAGGGGUACUAAUACCGGAUAUUCUUGCAUUUCAUAAGUAUUGCAAGGAAAGGUGGCCUCUGAUUCAAGCUACUGCAUAGAGAGGGGUCUGCGUACCAUUAGCUAGUAGGUGGGGUAAUGGCCUACCUAGGCAACGAUGGUUAGCGGGUCUGAGAGGAUGAUCCGCCACACUGGCACUGAAACACGGGUCAGACUCCUACGGGAGGCAGCAGUGAGGAAUAUUGCGCAAUGGGGGCAACCCUGACGCAGCGACGCCGCGUGAGUGAGGAAGGCCUUCGGGUCGUAAAGCUCUGUCAAGAGGGAAGAAGUGCAUGGUAGCUAAUACCUGCCAUAUUUGACGGUACCUCUAAAGGAAGCACCGGCUAACUCCGUGCCAGCAGCCGCGGUAAUACGGA
This 541-nucleotide ribosomal RNA is filed under the name uncultured Desulfobulbus sp. Its description in RNAcentral is "bacterial SSU rRNA". It matches the Rfam family "Bacterial small subunit ribosomal RNA", at positions 9 to 529 of the family's 1533-position model. Lineage: Bacteria; Pseudomonadati; Thermodesulfobacteriota; Desulfobulbia; Desulfobulbales; Desulfobulbaceae. The record is from RNAcentral.